GACGAACGCUGGCGGCGUGCCUAACACAUGCCAGUCGAACGGAAAGGCCCUGCUUUUGUGGGGUGCUCGAGUGGCGAACGGGUGAGUAACACGUGAGUAACCUGCCCUUGACUUUGGGAUAACUUCAGGAAACUGGGGCUAAUACCGGAUAGGAGCUCCUGCUGCAUGGUGGGGGUUGGAAAGUUUCGGCGGUUGGGGAUGGACUCGCGGCUUAUCAGCUUGUUGGUGGGGUAGUGGCUUACCAAGGCUUUGACGGGUAGCCGGCCUGGGAGGGUGACCGGCCACAUUGGGACGGAGAUGCGGCCCAGACUCCUACGGGAGGCAGCAGUGGGGAAUAUUGCACAAUGGGCGGAAGCCUGAUGCAGCAACGCCGCGUGCGGGAUGACGGCCUUCGGGUUGUAAACCGCUUUCGCCUGUGACGAAGCGUGAGUGACGGUAAUGGGUAAAGAAGCACCGGCUAACUACGUG
This 468-nucleotide ribosomal RNA is filed under the name uncultured bacterium. RNAcentral describes it as "partial 16S ribosomal RNA". It matches the Rfam family "Bacterial small subunit ribosomal RNA", at positions 28 to 507 of the family's 1533-position model. The record is from RNAcentral.